UUUGAAUGUGCUGAAUUUACUGAUUUGGUGGAUAAAUGGUGGAAAUCCUAUGAGCUGCAUCACCAUUUUGCAACACCAGAGAUUCUCGUAUUUAUCUCUGUUUGGUAUGUUCUUUGAGCAAAAUGUUAACAGUAAACACACAGUAUAUCAGGAGAAAUUUCUCCUCUUCUCAUUCUCUGCCUACUACAUGAAUUGCAUUUCAGGCCACCACCUCCUACAGUAUCUUUUCUGUUGUACCUACCCGCAAGAUCAUCAGCCAACUUGAGACUGGAUUUCAUUUUCUUUUUGUGUUAGUCUUUUCCUUCUGUUGCUUAUUUGUCUUCUAUAACUUUCUCUGCGUUUCAUUUUAUCCCUUUAGUCUCUUGCAACUUUGUCUGUUUGGUGCCAUUGACCAGACCAGUCUGAUCUACGAAAUCUGUAGCUUAGCUACUGAAGCUACAAAAAGCAAAGGUAAAAAGAGAUUGUGGGCAAGGAUGUGGGGCAUUUGAGAUGGAGGGUAUGAGAGAGUGCAUUAUAUUCCUACUUACAGAUAUGGUUAUCCUUUUUUUAAGUGCUUGGAAUAUUGAGGGAUGAUGGAGAAAAAAUCUAUAGGGAUCUUUAAGGUGCUAAAAUUGUCUGGACCUAGUUUGAGGACCAACUAAGAUAAACAUUGAGGGAAUAGGAUAGUAAACGCUGAACCCCAGUGGAUUAUGGUAGUAAGGCCACUAUGUGACUUACAAUAGAUAGUAAGCGCUGAACCCCAGUGGAUUAUGGUAGUAAGGCCACUAUGUGACUUACAAUAUCCGGCCACGUGUUUAAGUCGUCUGCAAAGUAUUCUACCCGUCGCUCCGAUUGAAAUUGUACUUCAAUGUGGUCGUGACCCUUUCGCGACAAUGACUUAUCAAGUGGGAUUUGGGGAAGGUAGUGUGUAUGCAGACUUUAUCCCUACCUCGGGAGCAGAGAUGUUUCCGAUGGACCCUCUUCUCAAGAAUAUGAAAAGAGAUAAUAGAUCAGUUUCGCAGCAAUGACUUAGCGAACAACAAAUCCUCAAGUGCUUGAUGCGGCGAAAAAAAAAAUACUUAAAUCAGUUUGAUCUCAAAAUGUCAUCAUACAAAUCUCUCAACUAGGAGAGUGUUUCUAGUUAACCAUGUUUCCUAUUUUUUCACUUUCUUGGUCUUUUUAUAUCUGACUAUGGUUGUACCUUGCAGGAGGAAUGUGUUCCAUUCAAAAAUCACAGUCCGUCUCACCAUGUAGUGACUAAGUUCCAAUGAAGUUGAUGUUUAUCUGCAAAAGCGGACUAGGUUUCGGAGUUGAUGUUUGUCUGCAAAAGUGUGGUCCAUUAAAUAUGAAGAUUUAGAGGUAAUCUUUGUCAGCCCAAUAGUAUUGUAAGGAUCAAGGAGGCAGUGUAUGUUUAGUUUGUUCAGGGAGGGAGUUUGUAUGGUUCAGGCAGGGAUAAUUUAUUUAAUUGGCCUGACAGAUGUAACAAAAUUUGUGUUUAUUUUUUCAGAUGUUAGAAGAAAUAUCUACCUAUGUAAAACACUCUUAUUUUUUCAGUAACUCAUUUUUUCUUGUUAGUUCAUGGGUAGGCAUGCGACUGUAUUUAUGUUUUUUUAUGUUUACAUAGUUAUUUAUGUUAUUUCUGCGGGAUUUACUAAUGCUUUAUUAUUUUGUUUUUGUCUUGUUUUUGUUUCUAAUUUUGUCUUGGUUUUUGUUUUUGCUUUUUGUCUAGUGCAGCUUUUCAUUUUUUCCUAUGCGCCGAGGGUCGAUUG
RNAcentral lists this long non-coding RNA (1748 nucleotides) under Nicotiana benthamiana. RNAcentral describes it as "long non-coding RNA (NBEN_LNC018504)". The record is from RNAcentral. Lineage: Eukaryota; Viridiplantae; Streptophyta; Magnoliopsida; Solanales; Solanaceae.